This 72-nucleotide non-coding RNA is filed under the name Candidatus Kentrum sp. LPFa. Lineage: Bacteria; Pseudomonadati; Pseudomonadota; Gammaproteobacteria. The record is from RNAcentral.
GAGAGCCGUGUGCGGGAAAACCGCACGCACGGUUCGGAGGGAGGGGCGGACCAAACCCGUCCCUACCCCUAU